This 430-nucleotide ribosomal RNA is filed under the name uncultured bacterium. RNAcentral describes it as "bacterial SSU rRNA". It matches the Rfam family "Bacterial small subunit ribosomal RNA", at positions 29 to 507 of the family's 1533-position model. The record is from RNAcentral.
AACGAACGCUGGCGGCAGGCUUAACACAUGCAAGUCGAACGCACCUUCGGGUGAGUGGCAGACGGGUGAGUAACGCGUGGGAACCUUCCCUGUGGUACGGAAUAGCUCCGGGAAACUGGAAUUAAUGCCGUAUACGCCCUUUGGGGGAAAGAUUUAUCGGAGUUGGAUGAGCCCGCGUUUGAUUAGCUAGUUGGUGGGUAAAGGCCUACCAAGGCGACGAUCAAUAGCUGGUCUGAGAGGAUGAUCAGCCACACUGGGACUGAGACACGGCCCAGACUCCUACGGGGGGCAGCAGUGGGGAAUAUUGGACAAUGGGGGCAACCCUGAUCCAGCCAUGCCGCGUGCGUGAAGAAGGCUUUAGGGUUGUAAAGCGCUUUCACCGGUGACGAUGAUGACGGUAGCCGGAGAAGAAGCCCCGGCUAACUCCGUG